AGGUCCGUAGCUCAAUUGGUAGAGCACCGGUCUCCAAAACCGGGGGUUGGGGGUUCGAGUCCCUCCUGGCCUGCCA
RNAcentral lists this transfer RNA (76 nucleotides) under compost metagenome. RNAcentral's name for it is "tRNA-Trp". It matches the Rfam family "tRNA". From Rfam's summary of the family: Transfer RNA (tRNA) molecules are approximately 80 nucleotides in length. The record is from RNAcentral.